This 612-nucleotide ribosomal RNA is filed under the name Bacillus sp. D516. RNAcentral describes it as "bacterial SSU rRNA". It matches the Rfam family "Bacterial small subunit ribosomal RNA", at positions 98 to 695 of the family's 1533-position model. Lineage: Bacteria; Bacillati; Bacillota; Bacilli; Caryophanales; Bacillaceae. The record is from RNAcentral.
CUGGAUGAGGGAUAAACACCCGGGUAACCUGCCUGUAAGACUGGGAUAACUCCGGGAAACCGGGGCUAAUACCGGAUAACUCAUUUCCUCGCAUGAGGAAAUGUUGAAAGGUGGCUUCGGCUACCACUUACAGAUGGACCCGCGGCGCAUUAGCUAGUUGGUGAGGUAACGGCUCACCAAGGCAACGAUGCGUAGCCGACCUGAGAGGGUGAUCGGCCACACUGGGACUGAGACACGGCCCAGACUCCUACGGGAGGCAGCAGUAGGGAAUCUUCCGCAAUGGACGAAAGUCUGACGGAGCAACGCCGCGUGAGUGAUGAAGGUUUUCGGAUCGUAAAGCUCUGUUGUUAGGGAAGAACAAGUGCCGUUCGAAUAGGGCGGCACCUUGACGGUACCUAACCAGAAAGCCACGGCUAACUACGUGCCAGCAGCCGCGGUAAUACGUAGGUGGCAAGCGUUGUCCGGAAUUAUUGGGCGUAAAGCGCGCGCAGGUGGUUCCUUAAGUCUGAUGUGAAAGCCCACGGCUCAACCGUGGAGGGUCAUUGGAAACUGGGGAACUUGAGUGCAGAAGAGGAAAGUGGAAUUCCAAGUGUAUCGGUGCAAUGCGUAGAU